CUUCAAUUUGUGGAUCCAAAAAGCCUCCCUGCAGAGGAGUAACUUCUUGAUGUCAGUGUUAAUUGGAGUCUGUAGUUUUUCUAAGGAGGAAUCACUCUGAGUUUGCUGUGGUGUAGACUAAACCCCCAGCCAAUCCCGACACUGAUCCUGAUUGGCCUUCAUUCCAGCUAAUCAGGGGAGGGAGCAGGAGUUGUCUUUCAGUACAACUCUAUGGUAACUUCCAGGGGAAGAAUGCCACAGAAUCACCUGGAGGACCUAGCAUAUUCCUAGCAUAUGCUACAACGGCAAGAAUGGUCUUCGCGAAAAAAUGGAAGUUGGACACAAUACCUGAUACGAAGACAUGGAUACUUAAAGUUAUGGAGAUUAAGGACAUGGAUAAACUAACAUUUCUUUAAAGGAGAAUACUGGUAAAGGCCUAAAAAUGACAGAUUGGUCUCCCUUUGAAGAAUAUUUGGAGACGAGAUCAGGACUUAAAAAGGGAAAUAAAUAAUUUUCACAUAUUUUUUCUUUUUUUUAUGCUAUGGAACUAAAACGGAAGAAAGAAGGACGGAAGUUACAAACUUUAUCCUUAACCAUCCCUUACCCCACCCCACCCUACCUUCCCAUGAACAUACUUUCCUUACACCUUUCCCUUCCCCUCCCCACAUUUUUUAAUUAUUGUUUCUAAUUUUUAUUCACUUCUUAAUAAAAAUUAUUUUAU
Long non-coding RNA from Anolis carolinensis (green anole), 700 nucleotides. RefSeq lists it as uncharacterized. The transcript is spliced from 2 exons. The record is from RefSeq and is a predicted model, not a curated record. Lineage: Eukaryota; Metazoa; Chordata; Lepidosauria; Squamata; Anolidae.